GACGAACGCUGGCGGCGUGCUUAAAACAUGCAAGUCGAACGAACACUUCGGUGUUAGUGGCAAACGGCUGAGUAACGCGUGGGUGACCUACCUGGAAGUGGGGAAUAACUGCCCGAAAGGGUGGCUAAUACCGCAUGUGAUGGCGAGAGCGUACUCGUCAUGAAAGUCUUCGGACGCUUCGAGAGGGGCUCGCGCUCGAUUAGCUAGUUGGUGGGGUAACGGCCUACCAAGGCGACGAUCGAUAGCUGGUCUAAGAGGAUGAUCAGCCAGACUGGGACUGCGACACGGCCCAGACUCCUACGGGAGGCAGCAGUUAGGAAUUUUGGGCAAUGGGCGAAAGCCUGACCCAGCAACGCCGCGUGGGUGAUGAAGGCCUUCGGGUCGUAAAGCCCUUUUUCAGGGGAAGAUGAUGACGGUACCCUGAGAAUAAGCCCCGGCUAACUACGUGCCAGCCGCCGCCGUAA
This 464-nucleotide ribosomal RNA is filed under the name uncultured bacterium. Its description in RNAcentral is "partial 16S ribosomal RNA". It matches the Rfam family "Bacterial small subunit ribosomal RNA", at positions 28 to 523 of the family's 1533-position model. The record is from RNAcentral.